RNAcentral lists this small RNA (612 nucleotides) under Pongo abelii (Sumatran orangutan). RNAcentral's name for it is "unitary pseudogene". Lineage: Eukaryota; Metazoa; Chordata; Mammalia; Primates; Hominidae. The record is from RNAcentral.
AUGAGCUGUCCACUGGCCCGCCUCUGCCUGCUGACCCUGCUGUCGCCACCCCUCAGCUCAGCAGCCUCCAUCUCCCCGCCUGAGCCCAUCAGUCAAGCCUAUAGACUGGCCCUCUACAUGCAGAAGAACACCUCAAUGCUGCUGUGGACUUACCUCCAGUACCAGGGCAGCCCCUUUAGUGACCCUGGCUUCUCGGCCCCUGAGCUCCAGCUCAGCAGCCUGCCUCCUGCCACUGCCUUCUUUAAGACCUGGCACGCCCUGGAUGAUGGGGAACGGCUGAGCCUUGCCCAGAGGGCCUUCCUGGCAUUGACCCAGCACCUCCAGCUCGUGGGGGAUGACCAGAGCGACCUGAACCCUGGCAGUCCCAUCCUGCUGGCUCAGCUCGGGGCUGCGAGACUCAGGGCCCAAGGCCUGCUGGGCAGUAUGGCCACCAGCAUGACGGCCCUGGGGCUGCCAAUCCCCCCAGAAGAGGAUACUCUAGGGCUUGUUGCCUUUGGGGCCUCGGCCUUUGAGAGGAAAUGUCGAGGCUACAUGGUGACCCGGGAAUAUGGCCACUGGACAGACCGAGCUGUGAGAGACUUGGCUCUGCUCAAGGCUAAGUACCCAGCAUAG